UACGGAGGAUGCAAGCGUUAUCCGGAUUCAUUGGGUUUAAAGGGUGUGUAGGCGGGGUAAUAAGUCAGUGGUGAAAUCCUGCAGCUUAACUGUAGAACUGCCAUUGAUACUGUUAUUCUUGAGUAUAGUUGAGGUGGGCGGAAUGUGUAAUGUAGCGGUGAAAUGCUUAGAUAUUACACAGAACACCGAUUGCGUAGGCAGCUCACUAAACUAUUACUGACGCUGAGGCACGAAAGCGUGGGGAU
Molecule: ribosomal RNA, 245 nt
Filed under: uncultured bacterium
Lineage: Bacteria
Description: partial 16S ribosomal RNA
Rfam family: Bacterial small subunit ribosomal RNA
Source: RNAcentral